GAGUUUGAUCGUGGCUCAGGGUGAACGCUGGCGGCGUGCUUAAGACAUGCAAGUCGAACGGUCCCUUCGGGGAUAGUGGCGCACGGGUGAGUAACGCGUAACUGACCUACCCCAAAGUCGCGGAUAACGAUUCGAAAGAAUCGCUAAUACGUGAUGUGCUGUCAGAUUGUGUUCUGCCAGUAAAGAUUUAUUGCUUUGGGAUGGGGUUGCGUUCCAUCAGCUAGUUGGUGGGGUAAAGGCCUACCAAGGCGACGACGGAUAGCCGGCCUGAGAGGGUGGCCGGCCACAGGGGCACUGAGACACGGGUCCCACUCCUACGGGAGGCAGCAGUUAGGAAUCUUCCACAAUGGGCGAAAGCCUGAUGGAGCGGCGCCGCGUGAGGGACGAAGGUCUUCGGAUUGUAAACCUCUGAAUCAGGGACGAAAGACGCGUAAGCGGGAUGACGGUACCUGAGUAAUAGCACCGGCUAACUCCGUGCCAGCCGCCGCAGU
Molecule: ribosomal RNA, 491 nt
Filed under: uncultured Deinococci bacterium
Lineage: Bacteria; Thermotogati; Deinococcota; Deinococci
Description: bacterial SSU rRNA
Rfam family: Bacterial small subunit ribosomal RNA
Source: RNAcentral